AUCCUUUCCCAGUUCAUAAACAUGAUAACUGGGUAUUCAAAUGCUUGUGUGACAUAUGCCUCCCUUAAAACUUGUUAUGCACUUGACACAUUACCCUUCUGAUG
Small nucleolar RNA from Sorex fumeus (smoky shrew), 104 nucleotides. RefSeq annotates it as small nucleolar RNA U13. NCBI's taxonomy places the organism in Eukaryota, Metazoa, Chordata, Mammalia, Eulipotyphla, Soricidae. The transcript has a single exon. The record is from RefSeq and is a predicted model, not a curated record.